RNAcentral lists this ribosomal RNA (253 nucleotides) under uncultured bacterium. RNAcentral describes it as "partial 16S ribosomal RNA". It matches the Rfam family "Bacterial small subunit ribosomal RNA", at positions 524 to 776 of the family's 1533-position model. The record is from RNAcentral.
UACGAAGGGGGCUAGCGUUGUUCGGAUUUACUGGGCGUAAAGCGCACGUAGGCGGGUUGUUAAGUCGGGGGUGAAAUCCCAGGGCUCAACCCUGGAACUGCCUUCGAUACUGGCAAUCUAGAGUCCGGAAGAGGUGAGUGGAACUCCUAGUGUAGAGGUGGAAUUCGUAGAUAUUAGGAAGAACACCAGUGGCGAAGGCGGCUCACUGGUCCGGUACUGACGCUGAGGUGCGAAAGCGUGGGGAGCAAACAGG